This 75-nucleotide transfer RNA is filed under the name Microcaldota archaeon. Its description in RNAcentral is "tRNA-Arg". It matches the Rfam family "tRNA". From Rfam's summary of the family: Transfer RNA (tRNA) molecules are approximately 80 nucleotides in length. Their secondary structure includes four short double-helical elements and three loops (D, anti-codon, and T loops). The record is from RNAcentral. Lineage: Archaea; Nanobdellati; Microcaldota.
GGGCCCUUAGCUUAGUCUGGAAAGAGCACCUGGCUUCGAACCAGGGGGUCGGGGGUUCGAAUCCCCCAGGGCUCG